RNAcentral lists this ribosomal RNA (253 nucleotides) under uncultured bacterium. RNAcentral describes it as "partial 16S ribosomal RNA". It matches the Rfam family "Bacterial small subunit ribosomal RNA", at positions 524 to 776 of the family's 1533-position model. The record is from RNAcentral.
UACGUAGGGGGCAAGCGUUGUCCGGAUUUAUUGGGCGUAAAGCGUGCGCAGGCGGUUGUGCAAGACCGCUGUGAAAUCCCCGGGCUUAACCUGGGAAUGGCAUUGGUGACUGCACGGCUAGAGUGUGUCAGAGGGGGGUAGAAUUCCACGUGUAGCAGUGAAAUGCGUAGAGAUGUGGAGGAAUACCGAUGGCGAAGGCAGCCCCCUGGGAUAACACUGACGCUCAUGCACGAAAGCGUGGGGAGCAAACAGG